AGGGUGGCGGGGGUGUAGACUGUGUCUGGUGGACAGCUGGGUAUAGACCUGUGCCUGAGAAUUAAGGAAGACACGCACACAUAUUGUGUGCUUACUGUAUUCAAGGGAUUAUGUCAGGUCCCCAAGAUCCACGGAUGUUUGAGAAACAGUCCCGGACCUCAAGAGUCUCACUGCCUAGUGGCAGCACAGCCAGAGGAGGAGAGGAAGAAGUCUAAAUUUCAGAGCAAAGAAACACUGACAUAUUUUUCCCAGCAGACAAACUUUGAAACAUCAAAAAGAAAAAUGAAGAUUUGAUCACUGUUUAAAUAUACAAUAAUACUGAAACACAGGUCUAAUUAUAUGUAACACCCAUGACAUACUUACUUGAUUGAAAAUGAUUUCUGACAGCAGCUCAAGGACAAGAAACUAUUUUGAAAGGUGAUCAGGAAAAGCCAUCUUGACUGUGUCAAUUGACGAUGAAGAUAAAGAUGCAUUAGGUUAAUGACGCAGGAGCGUUUGAGAUGAAGGAUAACUUUUAAGUCAACCCCCAGCCUUUUGAGAACCACCUGUCUUGGGAGAGCCAGUCUGUACCACCUACCAGGAGCUGCCCCUAAAGUGUCGAGAUGAAGUAGCAUGAAGGAGAAGACUCGCGCGGUAGGAGAGUCCGCUUCCAUGUCGCUGGUCCAGCUCAGAGCCUGGUGCUCAAUUACUAGGGUGCCUGCAAGCAAGAACAAGAUCCUAUUUUCCAGUGGUGGAAAGGUAAACUGCUCUGAGAGGAGGCACCAUCUUCAACAAAGUAUAACCAAUCAUGUAUUCCAUUUAGUCCAAGGAAGAAGAAAGAAUUAACUGCUGAAUUUACUACAGCUAUUUUAUGUGUAAAUGAAAUUUAGUCAAAUUUCUUUUUGUUAUAAGUGAGUCAUUUUUAUAUUUAAGAAUUUUAAGUUAAUUAUAUUCUGCUAAGGACUUCUAGGAAAGUCUGCUGGAAAAUGAAGAAAAACAAGGUUAUGUGUUGCAAUUAAUUCCAACUGCCCUAGAGCUUUGCUUAUUAGUAGGCCAAUGCGUGUUUUAUGUUCAUGCAAAAUACACAAUUUAGAGCCUUUUUUUAUUCAGAGCAUCCCUAUUAUACAAAUGUUAGCAGAUGUACCCAGAGAUGAAUAGGCAUGAUUGAAAAUGGUUGCAUAUUGACCUGACACUAAUAUCGCCAUGUGCAGGCAACAGAGCGCGAGGGAUACAAUUUCAUUUGUAAUUGAUCAUGCAAACAAGUGCACGCCCAGUCCCAUGAUAGUAGUCUUUCCAUCUCCAAUACCUGCUGAGCAUGCACACCCUCCCAAGGAGUUUUAUCCUGUAGGGAGAAUGUACUUAUUUCAAAAGAAUGAAACACGACGAAGCUCAAAUUAGUCACUGUUUUAUAAGAUUAUGUGUCACCUCAGUAUGAACUCCCAAGAGAUCACUAAACUCUCUGCCCUGAAAAAAAAAAAAAAAGUCUGGAAGGUAUGAAACAAUUGGUAGCUUUAAAAUAUUUUAGCUGAGUAAGAUAUUGGAUUGUAUACAAGUUGAGAGGGACUGUUCCACUUAUAUUCCAAGAACGAUGGUCUUAAUGGAAUAGACUGUGAUCACCUUCAAAGUAGGAGCACAGAUUGUUGUGGUUUGGGUCACCCAUGGAUAAUUAUAACCUGCUGGGUGCCAGUUUGAGUGUAUGAAAUAGUGAAAUUCUGCCGUGAUUUUGAUACAUGCAAAAUGACUUUUUUAAAAAAAGAUGGAUGACAGAAAAUUGUUGAAAAUGGGCCUAGAAAUAUAUUCACUGGAGUUCACAGUAAUUUAUAGUAUAAGUCACAAAACCCUGUUGGAGAAAGGGAAUAUGAAAAGAGCAGAAACAAAUAAACAAACAAAAAAAGGGUUAGGAUUUUCAUGUCCAAAACCUUGGAAAUGAACAGCUUUGUAGCACAACUAGAUUGUACCUUUCGCGGUAUCAAUGAAAUCU
Molecule: non-coding RNA, 1960 nt
Organism: Odocoileus virginianus texanus
Lineage: Eukaryota; Metazoa; Chordata; Mammalia; Artiodactyla; Cervidae
Source: RefSeq, a predicted model, not a curated record